UUAAAAAAAGAAUCUCACAGUUCCAUUUGCGUUAUGGAUAGGCCCUACCCUCUCUUUAGAAAGAGUGUACGCUCUUUAAGGUAAGGAUUCGAGGUUUCUUUAUUUUGAAAGAUACCUCAUCCAAGGUGGGUGCCUAUCUGUUCCUGUUCUAUAAACAUCGAAGGAAACUUUUUACAUGGCAUUAUGUCAAAGCUAUUUAAACAAAUCUCAAACCGAAGAGGAGAAUCUUCUCAGCUUUGGAUAUGAAGUAUGCUGAUCUGCUGGGCAUGGUGGUGAACACCUAUAAUUCCAGCAACUCAGGAAGCCAAGGUCCUCUCCAAGUUGCUGAGGUUGGCCUUGAACUUGAUCCUUCUGCCUCAGCCUCAGAAGUGGUUGGGAUUGAUUGAUGUGCAUCACCACACCCAGGCACUGCUUCCCUCAUUUUAAAGAGGUCGACAGUGAUGUAAAAGAAGAGCGUGCUGGUGAUCUACCGCAUCAGAACUUCUUAUAUUGGAUAUGUCUCUUGUGAGAUCUGACUCCCUCAAAAGCCUAUGGACUCCAGAGUCAAGAGUCAGCCUGUUCAUCUUUGGAGCCUCAACACUAGACUACGGUAAACAGCUGCUGCAGCCUUCGAGCGUCGCGGCAACACCUGGAGGAGUGGAACAUGACCGUCGGAUUUGAGUGCAGACACCUUCCUUCGAAAUUAAACACAGGACAACGUGUGCGACUCACCCAAACCUGAGCCGAAUGAGGAAGUCAGGUCACACUGGCCCACAGGGGUUUGGUAUUUUUUUGUUUUGUUUUAAAAAGGGCAGCCUGGCCCUACACUAAGCAAUUGAUCCCCUGGCUUAACUUUUAAAUUAAGACCAUUGUAAAUUUGGGAACUUGAGAAGACAUAGAGAGGACACCCGUAAUACUUUGCAAAUGUCAAGUGCCUCUCGAUGUUGGUUACUUUUCAAAGGUAGCUAGGUUACAAUGUACCCUGGUAAUGAAAAAACCCCGUCAGGCCCACUCCACGGGGUUUCAGUCAAUAUACAUAAUAUUAUUGGGCUUUGCAAGGAUUAAAGGUUGUUUCUCUCACAGCCUCACAAUAGGGCUAUUUUUUCCCCUCUACUGAAGGCAUAAAAGAAGUCUCCCUGUUUACAGAGGAGCCCAAGACAUUUUGGGGCCCCAGUGAUGGUCCAGACUUCCCACUGCAUACUUCCCCCUGCUGGUGGCUUUAUAGCCAACCUUAAAAAAAAAAUCUAAUUCUUUUAAUAUAUACAUGAUAAGACUUAAAAAAGUUGAUUAGUGUUUUAUAUUGUCCACAAGCUAUUUCUGGAGUAUAAAAGUUAUGGUUUCUUCCAAUUUUAUUCUGAGAAAGAAAGCUUUCAUAUCAUACUGUCCUUCCCAACCAGCCCGGAUGGUAUUUGGACUAUUCCAUAUUUGGUGCAGUUUUGAAACUGCCCACCCUGUGGAAUGGGAUUCCCAGAAUGCAGCAAGAUACGUGGUGUGACCGCAUUCAGGUUCAUAUACAUUAGGAGGCUAGAGAUAGCACAACAGAAAUUCUGUAGUGUGUAUGUCAUAUGUCAUAGAACCAUACCUAAACAGGAAAGAAAAUACUCAGUAUGCUUUGGCCUGCACAAUUAAAAGGAAUUUCCAUCUUAAAACCAGAGAUGUGGUUAUUUGGCCCAAGAAACAUGAAAGUAUGGGGAAUAAUCUUGAGCUGCUGAAGAGAUGACCCAAUGAACUCUUUCCCACAUCUCUACGACACACAGAGCUUUCUCAGAACUGGUUUGAUUUUUUAAAAGAAAAAAAAAUGGUAGGGAAUCCCUGCAAAAGUUACCGUUUUAAAGUGUCUAAUUCAGUGGAAUUAAGAACAUUCACAAUGUUGCGCUACUAUCGCUGUCCAAAUCCAGAGUGUUUUUAUGACCCCAAACAGAAACCUCAUGCCAAUUAGGAGUCACUGCCCCAUUUCCUUCCCUCCCUCCUCUUCACCCCAGCUUCUCAAACCACAUCUGCCAUUUUGCAUCUAUGGAUUUGCCUAGUCUGGAUAUUUCAUAUAAAUGUGGCCCUUUGUGUCUGGCUUCUUUUACUUAACAUGAUGUCUUCAAGGUUCGUGCAUGCUGUAGCAUCUGUCAGAAGUUAUUGCUUUUUAUGGCUGCCCCUGCCAUAGAAUCUAAGUUAAUGAGAGUUGAAGGCUGCUUCCUCCAGGCAGUGGGGUCCCAGAAAAUAGGCAAGAUUUCUUUUGGAAAAUAGGUUUUGGGGAAAGCUAGGUGAAGUAUAAGUCAAUUAAAAAAACAAAAGAUAGGUUUUUUUUUCCAUUGAUAAAUGCUCUUGGUAUACAGGCCUUCUCAGAGUGUGUAAUAUAACAGAGUAUGCUCUAACCCUCCAAGAGGCCACGAAUAGUAUGGAUGCAGUAUUUUCUAAAAUUCUUUGACUAUGGAAUCUUUUAGUGCUGCUGUGUUCAUUUUGUAGACAUCCAAUCAAGAGGGCUAGUGGGAGCUCAAAUGUAUGUUUCUUGCCCUCUGCUUGCCAAGCCAAGAAUCUGUGGGGUUAUAUUCACUGAGAAGGGUUAUAAUUAUUUUUACUUACUUAUUUAUUUUUUAUUUUUUUCUGGCAAGAAUGGUUUCAAUUUCUCAAUCUUCACAUGGAUUCUCUGUAGGACUUUUUGGUGGAACACUGGGGGUGGAUGUGUGUGUGUGUGUGUGUGUGUGUGUGUGUGUUGGGGAGAGGUGUGCUCAGGGGACAGCAGUGUUCUAGGUAACUGCAGGAUUACCUUUCUGGAGCACUGUUAUAGGAUCAAGGGAACCCAGGGGCAGAUCCCUGUGGACACAGCCUCAUGGAAUUCAUUAGGGAUGAAUAUUUUUGGAAAGCACAGCAGAGCCCUAUUGUAAUAGAGCUACCAUAUUUGAAUUUCUGCAUUUGACUUGUUUCCGACCUCCCUAGAAUAUCUAGCUUGAAUAUAAGCUUUCCUCCUUGGUCAGGAGUUGAGGGGAAGGCUUGGCAAGGUCAGGAUACAGUUUUUGGAAAACAGAGACAGGGGAUGGACCUGAUGAAUUUCAAAGGAUGGAGUAAUACUCUCUAAAGCCCCAAGAACUCAGACAGGGAGUCAUCUGUAGGAUGUGGGGUUAGGAUCCCUCAGGGAAAAACUGAGCUAGAUAUUAAACUGGACACACCUAUGAACUCUCAUCUUGGUGCUUUCUCUGCUCAGAGGUCAGUGAUAUUCAAAAUGAAAAGAAUAUCAGAGCACUAAGGGAUUAUGAGAUUUCUUCUGAAUCAACUCAGGAUGAUUAAAUUAUUUUUAUAUUGUCUUAGUUUUGUUUUUAUAUUCAGGUUCUCUGAAAACUCUUACUCCAUUUGAGAUACUCCUUAGAGGAAAAUUUGGCUAAUCAUAACAUCCCAAUCUAUGGCCAUGAUCAUAAUGGCAAACAGGGUUUACUACAUAAAUAUCCUUCUAGAAUUACAAAAUUGGUAGCCUAUUAUGAUUGCACUAAAUAAAAGCAAUUCUAUACACUGGGCUUCUGUAUCAUGCUUUGUAAAUGUAUAUAUAUGUAUAUGUAUGUGUGUGUGUGAGACACACACAGACACACACACAUAUACUCUGGAUUUAGACAGUGAUAGUAGCACAACACUGUGAAUGUUCUUAAUGCCACUGAAUUAGACACUUUAAAAUGGUAACUUUUACAGGUAUUUUCUACCAUUUUUUUCUUUUAAAAUCAAAUCAAUAUAUAUAUAUAUAUGUAUAUAUACAUAUAUAUUUAUACUUAUAAAAAUAUAUAUUUAUAUAUUUAUAUGCAUUUUUUCUGCUUACAAAGAAAUGUGUUCCCAAUUGUAGAAAAUUUGGAAAAGGCAAAAAAUAAAAAAGAGAAAUUAAAAAAAUAUUGUAAGAUCUCUCUUCAUAGUUACAAUUUUGGUAUAUAUAUUUUAAACACCUUUAUGCAUAAGCAUAUCUUUUAUUUUCAUAGAUUAUUUACAUAUGAGUAUACUAUAUAUUAUUUAUUUGUUAUAAAUACACACACACACACAUACACACACACACACAAUAGGGACAGAAUUCAAAGGCACUGAGCCACAUCCCCAGCCUUUUAUAUUUUGCAUUUUGAAAUAUGGUCUCACUAAGUUGCUUAGGGUCUCAUUAAGUUGCUGAGGCUGCCUUCUAACUUGUGGUCCUCCUGCCUUAGCCUCCCAAAUCACUAGGAUUACAGGCACGCACCACUGUGCCCAGUCAUUUUAUUUUUAAAAGAUGCAAAUAUUUAGAUUUAAAAAUAAAAUUGAGAUUUCCUAUAUAUACUAUUUAGCUUGUUUUCAAAAUUUGUUAAUCAAUGUAUUAUAUAUACUUUACAUGUUUUUAGGUAUCACUUCACAGCAUAAAGAUUGCACAGUAAAUUGUUACAUGAAUAUGCCACAUUUUAUUUAGUAUAUUUCCUGUUAUUGGAUAUUUAUGUUAUUUAAAAAAUUUCCCCAUUUUCAAUAACCCAGUGAUAAAGUUUAUUUUUUACAUAUCUCUUAAUUGUUUUUCAGAAGACUCUUACCUCUUUUUCUCAUAUUUUUGUAACACUAUUAACCUUGAAGUAAUCACUAUUGUUUAUAAUUAUUUCCCAAAGAUGAAUAAGAGGCUUAUUAGGUGUGAAUAAUCUCUCCUCACAUCUAUGUCAUAUGCCAAGAUCAAUAAGGCAAAAUUACAUAUGUAAAGUGCUUGGA
This is a long non-coding RNA of Marmota monax (woodchuck), 4662 nucleotides long. RefSeq lists it as uncharacterized. The transcript has 4 exons. Lineage: Eukaryota; Metazoa; Chordata; Mammalia; Rodentia; Sciuridae. The record is from RefSeq and is a predicted model, not a curated record.